GACCGCGUAGCUCAGUUGGCAGAGCAUUGGGCUAGUAUUCCAUAGGUCGAAGGUUCGAUUCCCACCGUGGUCA
Molecule: transfer RNA, 73 nt
Filed under: Paramuricea clavata
Lineage: Eukaryota; Metazoa; Cnidaria; Anthozoa; Malacalcyonacea; Plexauridae
Rfam family: tRNA
About the family: Transfer RNA (tRNA) molecules are approximately 80 nucleotides in length. Their secondary structure includes four short double-helical elements and three loops (D, anti-codon, and T loops).
Source: Rfam by way of RNAcentral